AUGUCUGCCAGGAGCAGCGAGUGAGACCGUCAGUGAGGUUACACACAAAUUCCAGACAGAGUACAAAGUCUUUAUUCUUGAAACAGUGACAUGACAUGGCCACUGCCUUCUCUGAGCUGCCUACCCAGUUAAUCCUGUGCAGAUCCCCGUAAAGCCUAGCACUGCUCUAUUGCAGUACCUCCAAAGUGGUGCUUCAAAGGAUUACAGGAUCAAACUUGGAGUCCUGUUGUUUUAUUUCCCCCACCCUGAUUUCUGACCUCUCAAACUGGAUAACAGGACUGGCUUGUCAUCCCCCUUUUUUUUCAUGUUGUCUUUUCUUCCUCAUUGCAUUUUCAGGUGAGCUAAACCUACCUGCACUGAAGAUAUUAAAUGAGACGUCUUCCACAGGAACUAAAGCUCCCAUGGUGCCUUGGACACUGAUUGCUGAAUUUAACACUGUACUCGAGAGAAACCAGCGGGAGUCAAUUGAGGUUGAAAGGUGAAGCAGUUUAAACUAGCAGAUUCAUAUAAUAUAUUGGAAGGGAUAACUAUGGCUGGAGGUGGAUUUUGGUUGAUCUCCUUGAACACAUGGCUAUGUUUGAUUAUCCUCAUAAGAUGUAAGUUGUCAAAUUUGUCUGUUUUCACAAAAAAAACUAUUUGAAGAUAAUACUUAUUUAGUGCAGUACUUAGCAGCUUGUGAUGUUUCUGGUGCAAAGCUUUCCCUUGAAAAACUGUGUCUCUUGAAAAUUACCUCAUUCUUUAAAAGUUCACAGUAAUUUAAGUAUUAAUUUAUAUCUGUCUUUGAUCCAAAUUAUGACUACAUUUUUAUUUCAGCUUUUCUAGGCUGUUUUCAUUGUUCUUACCAUGAGAUGACUACUGAAGAUGUGCUCAUGCUGCUGCUGGUUUGUCUUUAAAUUUAAAAAAAAAAAAAAAAAAAAAAAAGAAAAGAAAAGAAAAAAUAAACUUUGAAUUUUCUUCUCAUUACAAAUCUAUGUCUGGAAAUGGAGGGGCAUUCUGCUUUUACAGUCCUUACAUCCUGUUACUCAACACUAAGUUAGUGACCAACUGCAGAGGUAACAGCUGUAAUUAUAUAUUGUCUUCAAUACAACUGAGCUUUGAACCAAGAUAUUUUGUAAGGUAAAAGAAAAAAGCUUUAUAACAAUGAAGCAGAUUGAACAUUACGUUUCCAAGCAUUUUGAGCCCUGCAUUAUUUCCUCCUUUUCAGUUUCUGCAGGUUUUUCACUGCACCAAAGCACGGGGAGAUAUUUUAUGCUCACUACUGCAAAUUCUCUGCCAGCAAAGACUUAAUUUUGAGUCACUCAGUGCAUUAUACUGCCACUGUUUUCCUUAAGUCUGGGUACUAAAAGGAAGUGCAGGCAUUCAUACCUCCCCUUAUAACCCUGACAAGUUUUCUGUAGUAGUAAAGGAACUGAAAUGAAAUAAUACUGAAAUAACACAAACAGAAAUAUGUUUCACCUCUAUGUAAUGCUUAUGAAAAAACACUGAGAUAAGAAAACUGACGCAGAUUAGCUGAGCAAGUAAAGUGUUUGCAGGGGCAGCUGCAGGGGAAAAAAAGAAAAAAUAUCUGAAAAAAACCUAUGAACAAUCACUUUUCGUUAACUCACUUCAAAACCCAAUUUCUCUACAGAGUUGUAGCAGUGUGCUUAUAAUAAAACUUGACUUCAUCUACAUCCUGUGAAGAACAGUCAGUAAUACAGUUUAAAGCAUCAAAGUCUCUGCAAUUUCACUGCCAGAUUCAAUACAGUCAUAUGCCUCCAUAGAAAGUCUAGCUAGGGUCGUACAGCUAAGUUUUUUGUUGGUUGGUUGGUUCUUGUUGUUUUCUUUUAAACUAGUACUGCCGUGAUCCCUUUUUAGGAGCUACUGUUUGUUAAUAUAUGACUGCCAAAUAUUUUAAACAUUAAUUUCUGUGAGCCUCAAAAAGACCACAUUUUGCUAACUGACUUUGAAACAGUGCAUGCUAUUUAUCCAAAACAUUCUUAUUGGCAUCUUUUAUACAAUAAAACUACUGUGUGCCAACAUAAUAAGCACCAGGACCUCCUACUGAAGAGAAAAUUGCUUCUCUCUUCUUUGUCACUACUGCAGAGUUAUACUGCUCUUCAACAUUUCCAACUUCAUCUGGUAUGUGUUACUGUCAAUGCAGUAAAGCUGCCUGAGAACUGUCCCUGACAAAAUCACAAUCAUUCAACAUCUCAGUGAUACUUCUGCACGGAUGACAGAAAAAUGCAGAAACCAAUAAUGACAAACUACUAUGUUGGAUAGAGAAUGCCCAUGAAUCAUAGACCACAGGCGCACAAUUGCAAACAUGCAGAGAUUUAUCUGAGACAGCAUGAUAUAUACUCGUGUCUCUUCAGAGUUCUCCAAAUUGUCCUGCUUGAGCAGGCAUAAACUAGACAGAUUUUAGGCAUACCCUUCUUCAGCUGUCUCUUAGAUCUAAAUCUGUAAAAAAAUGUCUCCACUCAAGUUCUUUACCACACCGGACAGGAUUUCCUUAAACCUUUGUUUAGUGGUGAAGAAUAAAGGGGUAAAUCUUUACUCAAAAUUACUUUAUUUUCAUUCACUUGGCUUGCAAGACAAAGGACAUGAUUAUUUUCUGAAAGUUUGGUCAGCAAAGGACUCAGAGCCAUGGGACACGCUAGCAGUCAUCCAUCUCACAAACUCUGUGUGCUGUCACCUUCUUUAUCACACCAACAGAAUGGGAAUGUCCCACAGCAGGGCUGCAGCCACGGCUUCCAAAUAAUGUUGUACAAGGAAAGCUGCUGUGGGACUGCAGUCAGUGUCCUGCGGUGCUCUUCAAUGGCUUUCUCAAUCUGCUCUAUUACAGUGUCAAAAAGGGGUUCAGUGUCAGCUGACAGAGGCUGGGACUCAGAAGGGUCUCGUGAGAGGUCAUACAGCAGUGGAGGGUCAUGAUGGGUCACACCUUCCCCAAAACAUGGGCAAAUUCCUUUUCCAUAACAAGCCCCAGCUCCAGCUGGAUGAAAGACUGGGGUUACAUAGUGAGCCUUCCAGACAGCUCCACCUGUCAGGAAAGAAAUGUUAUGGCACAACUACAAGAGAGAAAAAGAGGUGAAUUGUCUUCAGUGGUUGCUUACUAAGGAGACCUCUUGCCACACACCCAUCCCAUCACCACAGAUAAGAUUACCUGCACCGUGUACUGAGUUUGAAGAUAGAAAGCAGUAAAUCUAUGAAGACAAUAUUAGUCUUCAAGUGUAAUAGUAGGCAGCCAGCUUCUAUUUUCAUCCCAUUUUCUAUAACACAUCUCCUUUAUUACCUACAAGUAUUUUUAAACUGUAAGCCCACUCUAGCUAGCAAAAAUCACUGAUAUAUCAAGCAGAACAACUUCAAGAAUCUCAGAGAUCAAUACAGAUAAAUGUCAUCAUGCAAGAAAUCUGUCAUAAAGCAAGAAAUACGUCAAGAGAAGAAAUCUUAUAUACUGUAGUUAACAUGGAAUAUUUACACUUACUGUCCUUUUGGUGCCACCGCACUGCGUGCAAGUAGGAUCCACAAUAAUGAAAGAGAAACUUAUGCUCUGACUUUUGAGUUCUUCCUUGGAGUAAAGGCAUCAAGUUUCGUCCGUCGAUUACCCUAAU
This is a non-coding RNA of Coturnix japonica (Japanese quail), 3587 nucleotides long. NCBI's taxonomy places the organism in Eukaryota, Metazoa, Chordata, Aves, Galliformes, Phasianidae. The record is from RefSeq and is a predicted model, not a curated record.